GGACCAUUUCUAUCUCCUAUUGAAGCAUACUUGGUUUUGCCUAAAGCUCCAUGCAGACUAGUUUUGAAGCUCCACACAGACUGGGCCAAUAGCUCUUCACUUAGUACACUCAAAUGGAUCUAUGGUUCUGAAGGAAAUAGGGGAGGAAGGUAGACAUUUCAGAGGAGCUUUGGGUGUUUGACCUUUGGACCAAAACAGAAGAGACUAGAGCUACAGAUUUUGGGGGUGGUCUUCCAAGGUUUCUCUGAAUCCACUCAAGAAGACCACAUUUUCAUCAAAGAUUGCAGUAGGAGAUUGUCAGAGGUAAGAAAUGAGAAAGGGAGUAUAAAAUUCAAGGUCUCCCUCUUGCCCUCAGAAUCUCAGUAUAGCCCUUUAUUUUCAGGCCUCAAUAAUUGCUUUUAUUUCCUUAGGCGGGGUAGUGUGACUGAUCCUUGGUUGUGAACUAGUCU
This is a long non-coding RNA of Dromiciops gliroides (monito del monte), 449 nucleotides long. RefSeq lists it as uncharacterized. Lineage: Eukaryota; Metazoa; Chordata; Mammalia; Microbiotheria; Microbiotheriidae. The transcript has 3 exons. The record is from RefSeq and is a predicted model, not a curated record.